GUCCGAGAACCGUGAGGAAACCGUCUCCCCUUGCGGAUCCGGCUAAUUAAAAACCAGAAGGAG
Geobacteraceae bacterium GWC2_58_44 is the source of this 63-nucleotide non-coding RNA. The record is from Rfam. Lineage: Bacteria; Pseudomonadati; Thermodesulfobacteriota; Desulfuromonadia; Geobacterales; Geobacteraceae.